AGGAGCGUAGCUCAGUGGGAGAGCAUUGCCUUGACGUGGCAAGGGUCGGCGGUUCGAAACCGCCCGUUCCUA
Molecule: transfer RNA, 72 nt
Organism: Denitrovibrio acetiphilus DSM 12809
Lineage: Bacteria; Pseudomonadati; Deferribacterota; Deferribacteres; Deferribacterales; Geovibrionaceae
Rfam family: tRNA
About the family: Transfer RNA (tRNA) molecules are approximately 80 nucleotides in length.
Source: Rfam